Bubalus bubalis (water buffalo) is the source of this 2539-nucleotide long non-coding RNA. RefSeq lists it as uncharacterized. The record is from RefSeq and is a predicted model, not a curated record. The transcript is spliced from 7 exons. NCBI's taxonomy places the organism in Eukaryota, Metazoa, Chordata, Mammalia, Artiodactyla, Bovidae.
CUCAUCACGCAGUCAAAGUUUCCUUUUGCUUAGCUGGACAGACAGUUACAAGAGUUUGCUUGUGGGAGAACAUCUGAGCAUAACAGUUACCCCUGAAAGUCCAUAUGUUGACAAGAUUACACACUGCAAUUAUGUGACGCUUCAGUCUUUAGAUAACGAUGAGCCUGGCUGUGGAAUAGGUGGUGGCAGCAGCAAUGCUGACGUCCACCGAGCAGGACUCACUGUCCUCACCCAUGGACAUGCAGACGGCGCCCAACAAGACGAUGGAUCAUUUAAGAAAAUUCUCCAAUCAAGAAGAAAUUUGAAAGAGAAAAUUGAAAAUCUAGGUGGUUCAAAGAUUCGUGUUGUUUUCAGAGUUAUAAUGGAAUAAGCCAGGAUCUGCUGCAUUCUAACCGAUUGAUUCCUGUCAAUGUAUGGCAAUGAAAACAAAAAGAGGGCCUAUAGUCUAGGCUAAACCAGUUCACUCGGGCUGCUAUACGAGCAUACCACAGACUGGCUUACAGACAACAGAGAUCCACUUCUAUCAGUCAUGGAGCCUGGGAAGUCCAAGGCAUCAGCUAGAGUUGAUACUACCUGAUUUUCUAACACCUGGGAAAUUCAAGCUGUUGGUGUUUCAAAUAAAGGUCUGCGCACGGCUGAUGCACUGCGGUGUACAAAGAUGUACAAAGAUGAUUUCCCGGCCAUGAACAACAGCGUUACGAGAGUCCAUGAAAAGGGCCAAUCUCCAGCACGAAAACUCCGGGAGCUUGAGUGAGUAGAAACAAUUGUUGGAGCUCCAGCAGCCAUCUUGGAUCACGAGGUAACAUUGAGGAUGGAAGCUAGCAUGGUGGAACAAAAUUAUAACAGCCCCUGCUUUUGAUGGCAUGUGGAUCUGCCAUUCCAGCCUUGGCUUUCUAUUAUGUGGGAAAUAAAUAAAUGCGUAUUUCAUUUAAGCAAUAGUUAUUUUAGUUGUCUGCUAUAUAUAGCAGCACCUAAUUCUAAUUAACAUAAAUUCAUUUUUCUUCACCUUGUUUCCCCGUCAUAAUACUCAUCGCAGGUUGGUAUUAACUGCUUAUUUGAUGAUCAAUCUUCAGUGCUCGACCCAAGCUCCUUCUCUGGUUCCCCAUGGCUACUUCACGCCUGGCUCAGUGUCUGGCACAUUUUAGGCAUUCAGUAAGCAUUUGUGGAAUGAAGGACUGUAGAAGCGCCUAAACCUCCACCUCGCACCUCUUUUCCCUUUCCUUCUUCCUUUAGAGCUCAUCCCAGCUGCCAACCACUUCCGUCCGAUUGAGCCACUGUUUAUCUCUUCCCAUCCCUAAAGCAAACCCAGCCUCCCCUCUACACCAUCCAAGCACCUCAUCCCCCACCAUCCCCUCCAUCUCCACGCAGUUCUCUUCUCCAAGCUAGGGAUGGCUGGAUGCACUCUGCCAGUUACAAGGAUGGAGAAGCUGACUCUUAAAAGGAGGCAGGAGGGCUGGGUGCCAAUGCAGACCUUCUUGCCAAGCACAUGACACUAGAUUCCACGUGGCCCUGCGGGUUUGGGUUCCUACGGCGCUGAGGGAAUUUUGAGAGGUAAUUCCCUACCUAAAUCAGGACCUUACAGCUUCUUGAGGUGCCCCUUAGCCAUGGCCUAGGCCUGGACUCCAUGGGAGGGGCCCUCCUCACAGGGCAGAGUUCAUCCUCAACCUUGCCCAAUCCCCGUGGUCUCAGCCCCGGAGUCUGUCUCCAGGACCUGGUGCAGUAGCUGCUGAGAUGAGGAAACCUGCCCAGGGAAGGGCAGAGGCUGCCGAGGUGUCCAUCUCAACCUGCUUUGCCUCCUCCUCUGAAAGAGGAGAAAAGAGUUUUUAACAGCCCUCACCCCAUAUAUAUACCCUAUGGUAUAUGUAACUUAAUUCUAAUCUUUGGAUAGCUGGCUCCUCCCUGGUCUGGUAAACUUAAUACUCUGCUCUAUUUCUUUUUUUUUACCUAGAGGUGGUCUUUUUUUUUUUUUUUUAAACUAUGGCAAAAUAUACAUAACAUAAUGUUUACCAUUUUAAUUAUGCACAAGUACACAACUCGAUGGCAUUCACAUUCACAAUAUAUUCACAAUGUUAUGGAACCAUCACCACCAUUUAUACCCCAGACUUUCUCAUCAUCCACAACAAAAACCCUGACCUACAGACAGCGUCUCUACCUCUCCGUCUGUUUCCUUAUCAGGGACUCCGCUUACACUUGACUGUUCUCUGGCCUUGGCCUUGUCGCUGAUCCUACCUGUAUGCCUGGCCUCCUGAGGAACGCAUCCCAGGACUGCCCUGGCUCUUGUAACAUCAUUUCACUGGACUCCUGAUACUGGCUGCCUCUCUGCUCUUGUCCCUUUUGGAAAGGACCCUAUAGAUACCGGCUGCUAAAAGGGGUGCUCCCUAAGCAUCAAGAGUUUAGGACAUUGUCUGUCCCACCCUUGGGAGCUGACCUACCUUCAGGUCAUAACCCUGACAAUCUACAUCCACUGUAGGUAAUGAGACUGCUCUGUCUUUCUAACCACCAUCUCCUUCCAAAUACUCAGUACCUCAUCCUUCUCCUC